GAUGAACGCUGGCGGCGUGCCUAAUACAUGCAAGUCGAGCGAACGGACGAGAAGCUUGCUUCUCUGAUGUUAGCGGCGGACGGGUGAGUAACACGUGGAUAACCUACCUAUAAGACUGGGAUAACUUCGGGAAACCGUAGCUAAUACCGGAUAAUAUUUUGAACCGCAUGGUUCAAAAGUGAAAGACGGUCUUGCUGUCACUUAUAGAUGGAUCCGCGCUGCAUUAGCUAGUUGGUAAGGUAACGGCUUACCAAGGCAACGAUACAUAGCCGACCUGAGAGGGUGAUCGGCCACACUGGAACUGAGACACGGUCCAGACUCCUACGGGAGGCAGCAGUAGGGAAUCUUCCGCAAAGGGCGAAAGCCUGACGGAGCAACGCCGCGUGAGUGAUGAAGGUCUUCGGAUCGUAAAACUCUGUUAUUAGGGAAGAACAUAUGUGUAAGUAACUGUGCACAUCUUGACGGUACCUAAUCAGAAAGCCACGGCUAACUACGUG
RNAcentral lists this ribosomal RNA (497 nucleotides) under uncultured bacterium. RNAcentral's name for it is "partial 16S ribosomal RNA". It matches the Rfam family "Bacterial small subunit ribosomal RNA", at positions 28 to 507 of the family's 1533-position model. The record is from RNAcentral.